This 350-nucleotide ribosomal RNA is filed under the name bacterium fme08x96p572. Its description in RNAcentral is "bacterial SSU rRNA". It matches the Rfam family "Bacterial small subunit ribosomal RNA", at positions 48 to 381 of the family's 1533-position model. The record is from RNAcentral.
GCUACACAUGCAGUCGAGCGGAACGAGAAGUAGCUUGCUACUUCGGCGUCGAGCGGCGGACGGGUGAGUAAUGCCUGGGAAAUUGCCUUGAUGUGGGGGAUAACCAUUGGAAACGAUGGCUAAUACCGCAUAAUGCUUUUGUUUGUAAUGAACAGGAGCCAAAGAGGGGGACCUUCGGGCCUCUCGCGUCAAGAUAUGCCCAGGUGGGAUUAGCUAGUUGGUGAGGUAAUGGCUCACCAAGGCGACGAUCCCUAGCUGGUCUGAGAGGAUGAUCAGCCACACUGGAACUGAGACACGGUCCAGACUCCUACGGGAGGCAGCAGUGGGGAAUAUUGCACAAUGGGCGCAAG